RNAcentral lists this ribosomal RNA (433 nucleotides) under Erronea errones. Its description in RNAcentral is "partial 12S ribosomal RNA". It matches the Rfam family "Eukaryotic small subunit ribosomal RNA", at positions 990 to 1693 of the family's 1831-position model. The record is from RNAcentral. Lineage: Eukaryota; Metazoa; Mollusca; Gastropoda; Littorinimorpha; Cypraeidae.
UAAGCUUCAAACUGGGAUUAGAUACCCCACUAUUGUCUACUGUAAAUUAAUUACAUUUACCUGAGUACUAUGAAUACAAAAAAUUUAAAACUCAAAGGGCUUGGCGGUGUUCUAGACCACUUAGGGGAACCUGUCUCGUAAUCGAAAAUCCACGUUAUACCUAACCUUUUUUUGUAUUCAGUCUGUAUACCGUCGUCGUCAGGUAACUUUGAAAAACAUAGAAGUUGGCUAAAAAAUUAUAAUAAAUUUAGACGUCAGAUCAAGGUGCAACCCACAAAAAGGAGAGGAUGGGUUACAAUUAAAAGUUAUAAUACGGAAAGGAGGUUGAAAUUUCCAGCUAUAAGGAGGACUUAAAAGUAAGAAUCUGAUUAUACAAAUUUUCUGAAUUUGGCUCUGGAACGUGCACACACCGCCCGUCACCCUCUGCAGUCAA